This 253-nucleotide ribosomal RNA is filed under the name uncultured bacterium. RNAcentral's name for it is "partial 16S ribosomal RNA". It matches the Rfam family "Bacterial small subunit ribosomal RNA", at positions 524 to 776 of the family's 1533-position model. The record is from RNAcentral.
GACGGAGGGUGCAAGCGUUGCUCGGAAUUAUUGGGCGUAAAGGGUAGGUAGGCGGUCUCAUUUGUCUGAGGUGAAAGCCUUGGGCUUAACCCAAGAAGUGCCUCAGAAACGGUGAGACUAGAGUCCUAGAGAGGGUCGUGGAAUUCCCGGUGUAGCGGUGAAAUGCGUAGAGAUCGGGAGGAACACCAGAGGCGAAGGCGGCGACCUGGAUAGGUACUGACGCUCAACUACGAAAGCGUGGGGAGCAAACAGG